CGGCGGACGGGUGAGUAACGCGUGGGUAACCUGCCUCAUACAGGGGGAUAACAGUUGGAAACGGCUGCUAAUACCGCAUAAGCGCACAGUACCGCAUGGUACCGUGUGAAAAACUCCGGUGGUAUGAGAUGGACCCGCGUCUGAUUAGCUAGUUGGUGGGGUAACGGCCUACCAAGGCGACGAUCAGUAGCCGACCUGAGAGGGUGACCGGCCACACUGGGACUGAGACACGGCCCAG
Molecule: ribosomal RNA, 238 nt
Filed under: uncultured bacterium
Lineage: Bacteria
Description: partial 16S ribosomal RNA
Rfam family: Bacterial small subunit ribosomal RNA
Source: RNAcentral